This is a non-coding RNA of Brachypodium distachyon (stiff brome), 125 nucleotides long. The record is from Rfam. Lineage: Eukaryota; Viridiplantae; Streptophyta; Magnoliopsida; Poales; Poaceae.
CUUAUACUCCCUCCGUCCCAUAUUAAGUGACUCAAAUUUGCCCAAAUAGGGAUGUAUCUAUACCUAAAAAGCGUCUAGAUACAUGUAAUAGAAAGUUAAUUAAUAUAGGACGGAGGCAGUAUAAU